CCCUUAGAUGUUCUGGGCCGCACACGCGCUACACUGAAGGAGGCAGCGUGUACUCCUGGAUCGAAAGAUUUGGGUAACCCGCGAAUCUCCUUCGUGCUAGGGAUUGAGGUUUGCAAUUAUCCUUCAUGAACGAGGAAUUCCCAGUAAGUGCAAGUCAUACGCUUGCGCUGACUACGUCCCUGCCCUUUGUACACACCGCCCGUCGCUACUACCGAUUGAAUGAUUUAGUGAGGACUUCGGACUGGGACCGAUGCGGCUUUCGGGCUGCGUCGGUAUUCUGGAAAGAUGUCCAAACUGUAUCAUUUAGAGGAAGUAAAAGUCGUAACA
Molecule: ribosomal RNA, 327 nt
Filed under: uncultured eukaryote
Lineage: Eukaryota
Description: partial 18S ribosomal RNA
Rfam family: Eukaryotic small subunit ribosomal RNA
Source: RNAcentral